GGUAUUCCGCCGCCCCUUAUGCUCAUACUAUGCAAGUCGAACGGUAACAGGUCUUCGGAUGCUGACGAGUGGCGAACGGGUGAGUAAUACAUCGGAACGUGCCUGGUAGUGGGGGAUAACUACUCGAAAGAGUAGCUAAUACCGCAUGAGAUCUACGGAUGAAAGCAGGGGACCUUCGGGCCUUGUGCUACCAGAGCGGCUGAUGGCAGAUUAGGUAGUUGGUGGGGUAAAGGCUUACCAAGCCUGCGAUCUGUAGCUGGUCUGAGAGGACGACCAGCCACACUGGGACUGAGACACGCCCCAGACUCCUACGGGAGGCAGCAGUGGGGAAUUUUGGACAAUGGGCGAAAGCCUGAUCCAGCAAUGCCGCGUGCAGGAUGAAGGCCUUCGGGUUGUAAACUGCUUUUGUACGGAACGAAAAGCCUGGUGCCAAUACCCCCGGGUCAUGACGGUACCGUAAGAAUAAGCACCGGCUAACUACGUGUCAGCAGCCGCGGUAAUACGUAGGGUGCAAGCGUUAAUCGGAAUUACUGUGCGUAAAGCGUGCGCAGGCGGUUUUGUAAGACAGUGGUGAAAUCUCCGCGCUCUACCUCGGAACUGCCAUUGUGACUGCAAGGGCUAGAGUGCGGCAGAGAGGGAUGGAAUUCCGCGUGUAGCAGUGAAAUGCGUAGAUAUGCGGAGGAACACCGAUGGCGAAGGCCAUCCCCCUGGGCCUGCACUGACGCUCAUGCACGAAAGCGUGGGGGAGCAAACAGGAUUAGUAACCCCUGGGUGGUCCAA
Molecule: ribosomal RNA, 780 nt
Filed under: Comamonas sp. PRS-12
Lineage: Bacteria; Pseudomonadati; Pseudomonadota; Betaproteobacteria; Burkholderiales; Comamonadaceae
Description: bacterial SSU rRNA
Rfam family: Bacterial small subunit ribosomal RNA
Source: RNAcentral